This 400-nucleotide ribosomal RNA is filed under the name uncultured bacterium. RNAcentral's name for it is "bacterial SSU rRNA". It matches the Rfam family "Bacterial small subunit ribosomal RNA", at positions 355 to 769 of the family's 1533-position model. The record is from RNAcentral.
UGGGGAAUUUUCCGCAAUGGGCGAAAGCCUGACGGAGCAAUACCGCGUGAGGGAGGAAGGCUCUUGGGUCGUAAACCUCUUUUCUCAGGGAAGAAAAAAAUGACGGUACCUGAGGAAUCAGCAUCGGCUAACUCCGUGCCAGCAGCCGCGGUAAUACGGAGGAUGCAAGCGUUAUCCGGAAUGAUUGGGCGUAAAGCGUCCGCAGGUGGCAGUGCAAGUCUGCUGUCAAAGGUCAAGGCUUAACUUUGAACAGGCAGUGGAAACUGCACAGCUAGAGUGCGGUGGGGGCAGAGGGAAUUCCCGGUGUAGCGGUGAAAUGCGUAGAGAUCGGGAAGAACACCAGUGGCGAAAGCGCUCUGCUAGGCCGCAACUGACACUCAGGGACGAAAGCUAGGGGAGC